GUUCCCAAUGAUGGUCCUAUUAUUGACCAUGCUAAUAUUGAAUUGAUUAUGAUUUUUUCGAUGUAACUGAGGGAAUG
This is a non-coding RNA of Amborella trichopoda, 77 nucleotides long. Lineage: Eukaryota; Viridiplantae; Streptophyta; Magnoliopsida; Amborellales; Amborellaceae. The record is from Rfam.